UGGUGUCUUUGCUGAGGGUGACACUGAGCUGCAAGCUGCAUCUGGGGUGCCUUUAGGAUUCAGCACCAUGGCGGAAGAAGACAUUGAGACCAAAAUCAAGAACUACAAGACUGCCCCUUUUGACAGCCACUUCCCCAACCAGAACCAAACCAGGAACUGCUGGCAGACCUACCUGGACUUCCACUGCUGUUAGAAGGCAAUGACCGCUAAAGGCAGCAAUGUCUCUGUGUGCGAAUGGUACCAGCGUGUGUACUAGUCUCUCUGCCCCACAUCCUGGGUCACAGACUGGGAGGAGCAACGGGCUGGAGGCACAUUUCCCGGGAAGAUCUGAACUGGCUGUACCUCCCUCUCCUCUGUCCUCUGUCCUUCUCCCAGGAUGGUGAAGGGAGAC
Molecule: RNA transcript, 391 nt
Organism: Rhinopithecus roxellana (golden snub-nosed monkey)
Lineage: Eukaryota; Metazoa; Chordata; Mammalia; Primates; Cercopithecidae
Gene name: cytochrome c oxidase subunit 6B1 pseudogene
Exons: 1
Source: RefSeq, a predicted model, not a curated record